This 84-nucleotide non-coding RNA is filed under the name Marinithermus hydrothermalis. Its description in RNAcentral is "c-di-GMP sequence". It matches the Rfam family "Cyclic di-GMP-II riboswitch aptamer". Lineage: Bacteria; Thermotogati; Deinococcota; Deinococci; Thermales; Thermaceae. RNAcentral also lists the same sequence under 1 other name. The record is from RNAcentral.
CGGGCCCUUGGAGGCGAUGAACCCUGCCCGUGAACUGGGCGCCUGGGGCGGGGGGAGCCAGUGGCGCAACCGGCCAAGGGAGGG